Molecule: ribosomal RNA, 465 nt
Filed under: Vreelandella stevensii
Lineage: Bacteria; Pseudomonadati; Pseudomonadota; Gammaproteobacteria; Oceanospirillales; Halomonadaceae
Description: partial 16S ribosomal RNA
Rfam family: Bacterial small subunit ribosomal RNA
Source: RNAcentral
CCUACGGGUGGCAGCAGUGGGGAAUAUUGGACAAUGGGGGCAACCCAGAUCCAGCCAUGCCGCGUGUGUGAAGAAGGCCCUCGGGUUGUAAAGCACUUUCAGUGAGGAAGAACGCCUGGUGGUUAAUACCCAUCAGGAAAGACAUCACUCACAGAAGAAGCACCGGCUAACUCCGUGCCAGCAGCCGCGGUAAUACGGAGGGUGCGAGCGUUAAUCGGAAUUACUGGGCGUAAAGCGCGCGUAGGUGGCUUGAUAAGCCGGUUGUGAAAGCCCCGGGCUCAACCUGGGAACGGCAUCCGGAACUGUCAAGCUAGAGUGCAGGAGAGGAAGGUAGAAUUCCCGGUGUAGCGGUGAAAUGCGUAGAGAUCGGGAGGAAUACCAGUGGCGAAGGCGGCCUUCUGGACUGACACUGACACUGAGGUGCGAAAGCGUGGGUAGCAAACAGGAUUAGAUACCCUUGUAGUC